Molecule: ribosomal RNA, 610 nt
Filed under: uncultured bacterium
Lineage: Bacteria
Description: bacterial SSU rRNA
Rfam family: Bacterial small subunit ribosomal RNA
Source: RNAcentral
GACGAACGCUGGCGGCGUGCUUAACACAUGCAAGUCGAACGAGGUUCAUGGAGCUUGCUCCGGAAGACCUAGUGGCGAACGGGUGCGUAACACGUGAGAAACCUGCCCUGGACUUGGGAAUAACAGUCGGAAACGACUGCUAAUACCGAAUACCUUCACACCAUCGCAUGGUGAAGUGAAGGAAGCUUUUGCGGUUCAGGAGGGUCUCGCGGCCUAUCAGCUUGUUGGUGAGGUAACGGCUCACCAAGGCAUCGACGGGUAGCUGGUCUGAAAGGAUGAUCAGCCACACUGGGACUGAGACACGGCCCAGACUCCUACGGGAGGCAGCAGUGGGGAAUAUUGCACAAUGGGCGAAAGCCUGAUGCAGCAACGCGCGUGCGGGAAGAAGGCCCUAGGGUUGUAAACCGCUUUCAGCAGGGAAGAAAAUGACGGUACCUGCAGAAGAAGGUGCGGCCAACUACGUGCCAGCAGCCGCGGUGACACGUAGGCACCAAGCGUUGUCCGGAUUUAUUGGGCGUAAAGAGCUCGUAGGCGGUUCAGUAAGUCGGGUGUGAAAACUCUGGGCUCAACCCAGAGAGGCCACCCGAUACUGCUGUGACUCGAGUACGGU